AAGACGCUCGGACGCGCUGACACCCCACCUGAAAUGGGCACUUAGGGCGGGGUUGAGCGACUAGUGCAACCGACCGACGAAUC
Molecule: non-coding RNA, 83 nt
Filed under: Chloroflexota bacterium
Lineage: Bacteria; Bacillati; Chloroflexota
Description: Chloroflexi bacterium c-di-GMP-II sequence
Rfam family: Cyclic di-GMP-II riboswitch aptamer
Source: RNAcentral